Molecule: ribosomal RNA, 1386 nt
Filed under: metagenome
Description: bacterial SSU rRNA
Rfam family: Bacterial small subunit ribosomal RNA
Source: RNAcentral
AGAGUUUGAUCAUGGCUCAGGACGAACGCUGGCGGCGCGCCUAACACAUGCAAGUCGAACGAGCGAGAGAGAGCUUGCUUUCUCGAGCGAGUGGCGAACGGGUGAGUAACGCGUGAGGAACCUGCCUCAAAGAGGGGGACAACAGUUGGAAACGACUGCUAAUACCGCAUAAGCCCACGGGUCGGCAUCGACCAGAGGGAAAAGGAGCAAUCCGCUUUGAGAUGGCCUCGCGUCCGAUUAGCUGGUUGGUGAGGUAAUGGCCCACCAAGGCGACGAUCGGUAGCCGGACUGAGAGGUUGAACGGCCACAUUGGGACUGAGACACGGCCCAGACUCCUACGGGAGGCAGCAGUGGGGAAUAUUGCACAAUGGGGGAAACCCUGAUGCAGCGACGCCGCGUGGAGGAAGAAGGUCUUCGGAUUGUAAACUCCUGUUGUUGGGGAAGAUAAUGACGGUACCCAACAAGGAAGUGACGGCUAACUACGUGCCAGCAGCCGCGGUAAAACGUAGGUCACAAGCGUUGUCCGGAAUUACUGGGUGUAAAGGGAGCGCAGGCGGGAAGACAAGUUGGAAGUGAAAUCUAUGGGCUCAACCCAUAAACUGCUUUCAAAACUGUUUUUCUUGAGUAGUGCAGAGGUAGGCGGAAUUCCCGGUGUAGCGGUGGAAUGCGUAGAUAUCGGGAGGAACACCAGUGGCGAAGGCGGCCUACUGGGCACCAACUGACGCUGAGGCUCGAAAGUGUGGGUAGCAAACAGGAUUAGAUACCCUGGCAGUCCACACCGUAAACGAUGAUUACUAGGUGUUGGAGGAUUGACCCCUUCAGUGCCGCAGUUAACACAAUAAGUAAUCCACCUGGGGAGUACGACCGCAAGGUUGAAACUCAAAGGAAUUGACGGGGGCCCGCACAAGCAGUGGAGUAUGUGGUUUAAUUCGACGCAACGCGAAGAACCUUACCAAGUCUUGACAUCCCUUGACAGACAUAGAAAUAUGUAAUCUCUUCGGAGCAAGGAGACAGGUGGUGCAUGGUUGUCGUCAGCUCGUGUCGUGAGAUGUUGGGUUAAGUCCCGCAACGAGCGCAACCCUUAUGGUCAGUUACUACGCAAGAGGACUCUGGCCAGACUGCCGUUGACAAAACGGAGGAAGGUGGGGAUGACGUCAAAUCAUCAUGCCCUUUAUGACUUGGGCUACACACGUACUACAAUGGCGUUAAACAAAGAGAAGCAAGACCGCGAGGUGGAGCAAAACUCAGAAACAACGUCCCAGUUCGGACUGCAGGCUGCAACUCGCCUGCACGAAGUCGGAGUUGCUAGUAAUCGUGGAUCAGCAUGCCACGGUGAAUACGUUCCCGGGCCUUGUACACACCGCCCGUCACACCAUGAGAGCCGGG